RNAcentral lists this non-coding RNA (29 nucleotides) under Homo sapiens (human). The record is from RNAcentral. Lineage: Eukaryota; Metazoa; Chordata; Mammalia; Primates; Hominidae.
UGUGUUUCGUUUUAGCUGAGGUUGGCAGA